AGUGGUUCUUGGGUGGUCAUCCCGAAAUCGGGCUCCCUCCUUUCUGGUUUCCCAUGUGUCACCUGAGAACCGCA
This is a non-coding RNA of Myotis davidii, 74 nucleotides long. Lineage: Eukaryota; Metazoa; Chordata; Mammalia; Chiroptera; Vespertilionidae. The record is from Rfam.